RNAcentral lists this transfer RNA (66 nucleotides) under Philanthus triangulum (European beewolf). RNAcentral's name for it is "tRNA-Ser". Lineage: Eukaryota; Metazoa; Arthropoda; Insecta; Hymenoptera; Crabronidae. The record is from RNAcentral.
AGUUAAUGAGUUUGAAUAAACAUAUGUUUUGAAAACAUAAAAUAAAAUUAAUAAUUUUAUUAACUU